UGGCAGAUAGCUCAGUAACACGUGGCCAAACUACCCUGUCGAUCGGGACACCCUCGGGAAACUGAGGCUAAUCCCGGAUACGGCUCGCUGCCUGGAGUUGGCGCGAGCCCGAAACGUUCAGGCGCGACAGGAUGUGGCUGCGGCCGAUUAGGUAGACGGUGGGGUAACGGCCCACCGUGCCGAUAAUCGGUACGGGUUGUGAAAGCAAGAGCCCGGAGACGGAAUCUGAGACAAGAUUCCGGGCCCUACGGGGCGCAGCAGGCGCGAAACCUUUACACUGCACGCGAGUGCGAUAGGGGGACUCCAAGUGCGAGGGCAUACAGUCCUCGCUUUUCACCACCGUAAGGAGGUGGUAGAAUAAGUGCUGGGCAAGACCGGUGCCAGCCGCCGCGGUAAUACCGGCAGCACGAGUGAUGACCGCUAUUAUUGGGCCUAAAGCGUCCGUAGCCGGCCGGGCAAGUCCAUCGGGAAAUCCGCACGCCUAACGUGCGGGCGUCCGGUGGAAACUGUUCGGCUUGGGACCGGAAGAUCCAGAGGGUACGUCUGGGGUAGGAGUGAAAUCCUGUAAUCCUGGACGGACCACCGGUGGCGAAAGCGCUCUGGAAAGACGGAUCCGACGGUGAGGGACGAAAGCUUGGGUCACGAACCGGAUUAGAUAC
RNAcentral lists this ribosomal RNA (659 nucleotides) under halophilic archaeon. RNAcentral's name for it is "bacterial SSU rRNA". It matches the Rfam family "Archaeal small subunit ribosomal RNA", at positions 79 to 736 of the family's 1478-position model. Lineage: Archaea; Methanobacteriati; Methanobacteriota; Halobacteria; Halobacteriales. The record is from RNAcentral.